CGUUAAGCUUAAAAAGCUCACUCGAGCGCCUUUAUGUUUCUUUCUUACCAAUUUUAAGCCAACUGAGGAACACCCUUAUCCCAAGCAAUGGUUCGACUACGAUGUUCCGGUAACUUUAAACCACGCCGGGUGUUGAAAAGGUGGCCAGUUUCAGAUGCAUUGAUGUGUAGUGAUGCAGUGGACAACUGUGAGGAUGAUACAAUCAACAUGUUCCUAAACUGUGAUGCAGAAACACAAUGGGAGGAUCCAUCCGUCUCUGACCACAACUACACUUUAAAAUCACAACUCAACCUGAAGCAACCUACAUCUGAUAUGGGAAAACAAUGGUGCAGUUUCCCUGACAGGGCUUAUCCUGGUCCCAGGCUAAAAUGCAUAUUU
Molecule: non-coding RNA, 378 nt
Organism: Misgurnus anguillicaudatus (oriental weatherfish)
Lineage: Eukaryota; Metazoa; Chordata; Actinopteri; Cypriniformes; Cobitidae
Source: RefSeq, a predicted model, not a curated record